RNAcentral lists this ribosomal RNA (311 nucleotides) under uncultured bacterium. Its description in RNAcentral is "bacterial SSU rRNA". It matches the Rfam family "Bacterial small subunit ribosomal RNA", at positions 28 to 337 of the family's 1533-position model. The record is from RNAcentral.
GAUGAACGCUAGCGGCAGGCUUAAUACAUGCAAGUCGUGGGGCAGCAUGAGUAGCAAUACUUGAUGGCGACCGGCAAACGGGUGAGGAACACGUACACAACCUUCCUUCAAGCGGGGAAUAGCCCAGAGAAAUUUGGAUUAAUACCCCAUAAUAUAUUUGAUAAGGCAUCUAUUAAUAUUAAAGCUUCGGCACUUGAUGAUGGUGUGCGGCUGAUUAGAUAGUUGGCGGGUAACGGCCCACCAAGUCUACGAUCAGUAGCUGAUGUGAGAGCAUGAUCAGCCACACGGGUCACUGAGACACGGGCCCGACU